This 1069-nucleotide long non-coding RNA is filed under the name Bos indicus x Bos taurus (hybrid cattle). RNAcentral describes it as "lncRNA (ENSBIXG00000008160.1)". Lineage: Eukaryota; Metazoa; Chordata; Mammalia; Artiodactyla; Bovidae. The record is from RNAcentral.
ACAAUCCAUGGGGUUGCAAAGAGGUGGACACGACUGAGCGACUUUUGCUUUCUCUUUCAGGCCCGAUCUCAGACCCACAGAGUCAGAAUCUGAAUUGUAACAGGACUCUCAGGUGAAGCAUAUGCACGUUUAAGUCUGAGAAACACUGUUCUAAAUAUCCUGUUGAAUAAUAUGUUGAAGAGCACAGAGUCACAGAAAAUGAAGUUUUGUUUCUGGUUUUAUUUUAUAAAAAUGAAGUUUUAUUUAUUUAUUUCUAACUACAGAUUCAUUUCACUGGUCUGUUCAUUGAUCAACAUGACACAUAGUGAUCGAUGCCCGUGGGAGCAGGAAAGCAAAAUAACUGAGAUAUCCAAUGCCAUGAAUAAAGCCAACUGAUGUUAUCAUGCUGCUGCAGGGGCAGUAAGAAAGCUGAACGCACUUGCAGUAGCUUCCCUGACGUUGCUUAGUGAAGAAACCCUGUGCUCUGUAGCCUGGCAUCCUACAUAAUCAAGUUCUCUGCCCUCCUGCCAGAUGUGACUCCCCUAAAAUGGCAGGCUGCUUCCACUAGGAUGGCUCUCCUCCUCCUCCUAAUGACCCUCGGCCUCUUUUUGAUUAUGUGCUCUUGCAUUUCUGGUUUUCUCUUCUCAGUCUGUUUUGUUGUUGUUCAGUCGCUCAGUCCUGUCCGACUUUUUUGCAACCCCAUGGACUGCAGCACACCAGGCCUCCCUGUCCAUUGCUAACUCCCAGAGUUUACUCAAACUCAUGUCCAUUGAGUCAGUGAUGCCAUCCAGCCAUCUCAUCCUCUGUUUUCCCCUUCUCCUCCUGCCCUCAAUCUUUCCCAGCAUCAGGGUCUUUUCCAGUGAGUCAGUUCUUUGCAUCAUGUGGCCAAAGUUUUGAAGCUUCAGCUUCAGCAUCCGUCCUUCCAAUGAAUGUUCAGGGUUGAUUUCCUUUAUGAUGGACUGGUUGGAUCUCCUUGCAGUCCAAGGGACUCUCAAGAGUCUUCUCCAACACCACAGUUCAAAAGCAUCAAUUCUUUGGUGCUCAGACUCCUUUAUGGUCCAACUCUCACAUCCGUACAUGACUACUGGAG